GCAAUCCUACGGGGGGCAGCAGUGAGGGAUAUUGGUCAAUGGGGGAAACCCUGAACCAGCAACGCCGCGUGAGGGAAGACGGUUUUCGGAUUGUAACCCUCUGUCCUCUGUGACGAUGAUGACGGUAGCAGAGGAGGAAGCUCCGGCUAACUACGUGCCAGCCGCCGCGGUACUACGUAGGGCGCAAGCGUUGUCCGGCUUUACUGGGUGUCAAGGGUGCGUAGGCGGCUUUGCAAGUCAGAAGUGAACUCUCUGGGCUUACCCCAUCCACUGCUUUUGAAACU
Molecule: ribosomal RNA, 284 nt
Filed under: uncultured bacterium
Lineage: Bacteria
Description: partial 16S ribosomal RNA
Rfam family: Bacterial small subunit ribosomal RNA
Source: RNAcentral